CUAUGCCCAGCCCUGCCAGUUUGCACCAGGAGACAAUGUGUUGGUGCUGGUGCCAACAUCUGAGUGUAAGUUCCUUGCUAGCUGGCAUGGUCCCUAUGAAGUGUUGGAGAAAAUAAGCGAUGUCACGUACAAAGUGCAACAACUAGGGAGAAGGAAGACCAUACAGAUUUAUCACAUUGAUCUGCUGAAAAAACUUGUGAUGUUCUUCUUUCUGCAUCCCCUGCCCUGAGGCAGUCGAGUGAUGUCAGUUUUGGGACUGAGCUGACGGCUGCACAACAGCAGGAUCUGCAAGAGCUGGUCUCUCAGAAUACUGAUGUCUUCUCUACCCAACCAGGACACCUUGCCCAACACCACAUAUACACCGAACCAGGGAAGAAGUUAGCCUCCGGCCCUACCGAGUUCCAGAGGCUAGAAGGGCUGCAAUUAAGAUGGAGGGUGGACAAACUAAUUGAGAGACUGGGCAAAGCCUGGUUUCCUAGCACGCUGGACCUAACAAAGGGGUAUUGGCAAGUUCCUCUUGCACCAGGGUCCCGGGAGAAGACCGCCUUUGCCACACCCACUGGGCUGUACCAGUAUACCACCCUGCCGUUUGGUCUACAUGGAGCGCCUGCCACCUUCCAGAGGCUGAUGGACCGGGUCCUCCAGGAGCACAGUGAGUAUGCCAUGGCAUACCUUGAUGAUGUCAUCAUACACAAUCAUCAUCAUACACAUCUGAAGAGGCUGAGGUCCAUGCUUGGGUCUCUAAGAGAGGCCGGGCUUACCACUAACACUAAUAAGUGCAGAUUAGGCCUGGAAGAAGCUGAAUACUUGGGGUUCGCAAUUGGUAGGGGGAGUCUUAAACCUCAGCUUAAGAAAGUGGAAGCAAUACGAGAAUGGCCUCGCCCUACUAUCAAAAAACAGGUCAGGACCUUCCUAGGACUGGCUAGCUAUUAUCGUCGCUUUGUGCCGAACUUUGCUGCUAUUGCCUCUCCCCUGAUAGAUUUAACAAAGAACCAGAAACCAAAUUUUGUAUCAUAUACCACCGUAUCCAUUCUUGUGUUUCUGUUAAAUUAUUGCAAUGAAGGACAUAACAAAGAAACCUUGGCUUUGGUUAUCCCUUCUGAAAUGCACUGUACAGAAAACCAGUUGAACGAUUGAGGUCUUCAUUCAAGUAAUAUUAGUUUACGUACAGUGGGCUCCAGAUUAUUGGCACCCUUGAUAAAUAUGCACAAAAAUGCUAAAAGAAA
This is a long non-coding RNA of Anguilla rostrata (American eel), 1226 nucleotides long. RefSeq lists it as uncharacterized. NCBI's taxonomy places the organism in Eukaryota, Metazoa, Chordata, Actinopteri, Anguilliformes, Anguillidae. The record is from RefSeq and is a predicted model, not a curated record. The transcript is spliced from 2 exons.